Molecule: small RNA, 331 nt
Filed under: Opitutus terrae PB90-1
Lineage: Bacteria; Pseudomonadati; Verrucomicrobiota; Opitutia; Opitutales; Opitutaceae
Description: 5' ureB small RNA
Rfam family: 5' ureB small RNA
Source: Rfam by way of RNAcentral
CCUCCUCGAUCUGCUGCGGACAAAUGAAAUGAAUGUGGGUGUCGAUCCCCCCGGCGGUCACGAUGCAGCCCUCGCCGGCGAUCACCUCGGUCGCCGCGCCCACGAUCAUCGGGUUCUUUUUUCCGGUGCGCGGAUCCACGAACGUCGAACCGAGCCCGCUCUGAAUGCCGGGGUUUCCGCCGUGGCCGAUCCCGACGAUCAGUCCGUGCUUGAUGCCGAGGUCCGCCUUGAUCACGCCCAGCCGUGAAUCGAGGAUGAGCGCGUUGGUGAUGAUGAGGUCGAGUGAAUCGGCAUCGCGCGCCGUGGGCGACUGGCCCAUGCCAUCGCGAAU